This 425-nucleotide ribosomal RNA is filed under the name uncultured bacterium. RNAcentral describes it as "partial 16S ribosomal RNA". It matches the Rfam family "Bacterial small subunit ribosomal RNA", at positions 354 to 796 of the family's 1533-position model. The record is from RNAcentral.
GUGGGGGAUAUUGCACAAUGGGGGAAACCCUGAUGCAGCGACGCCGCGUGAAGGAAGACGUACUUCGGUAUGUAAACUUCUAUCAGCAGGGAAGAAGAUGACGGUACCUGACUAAGAAGCCCCGGCUAACUACGUGCCAGCAGCCGCGGUAAUACGUAGGGGGCAAGCGUUAUCCGGAUUUACUGGGUGUAAAGGGAGCGUAGACGGUGAAGCAAGUCUGAUGUGAAAACCCGGGGCUCAACUCCGGGAUUGCAUUGGAAACUGUUUUACUUGAGUGCUGGAGGGGCAAGCGGAAUUCCUGGUGUAGCGGUGAAAUGCGUAGAUAUCAGGAAGAACACCGGAGGCGAAGGCGGCUUACUGGACAAUAACUGACGUUGAGGCUCGAAAGCGUGGGAAGCAAACAGGAUUAGAAACCCGAGUAGUCC